Molecule: RNA transcript, 1313 nt
Organism: Vitis riparia (riverbank grape)
Lineage: Eukaryota; Viridiplantae; Streptophyta; Magnoliopsida; Vitales; Vitaceae
Exons: 3
Source: RefSeq, a predicted model, not a curated record
AGCAGAUACCUGUGUUUUACUUAAUUACGAUAAAUGUGGAUGAUAGCUGUAAUGCGCUAUGGGGGACCUUGAAUUUAGCGUGGGUUGCAUAGAAUCAAGCAUCAUUAAAGUGCUGAGCAUGUGUAAUUAAAUAAGGGAUUAGCUGACUUCCAAACUAAAAAGAGUGCUUUUUGAACAUGGAUUUUAGGUGUGUUUGGCAACAAGAUCGGAUCCUCAUCUGUGCACGAGCAAACUUAGGAAAUAAUAGGAAAUUUAAAAAAGUUAUGGUAAUAGCCUGGUGGGGGUAUGUGUUGUAGGUUGUGCGUGCGCUGAGCGGCGGUCCCCUCCCCUGCUCCUUGCUUUGUUGUCGUGCAUAAGGAGGGUUAUUGAGAGGCCCAAGUGGUUACUGACUUUCUGACAUAGAAAAUAAUAGUAAAAAACAAAGUGUGGGGUUGCCAAAAUCAGAAGGUGAGAGACGAGUCAUGUGGGUGUGUGGUGGGGGGGAUGGGAUUGGACAAUGGCUGUACGAGCGUGUGACAGGGAGAGGUAAAAUUUUACAGUUGAAACAGUUGAGAGUUCACACGCAGUUGAGUGUUGAGCAGAGGUUGUGGGCAGUGGGGGUGGCGCUGCGUCGGAACUCGCGGUCAGGAGCCACUUACCUUGCUGUGGGUCUUACAAGGCAUGUCUCAGCUUUUAUUGGAAAGUGGAAACUGCAGUGGUAUGGGCCUCCACAGCUUCUCUUUUUCCAGGUGUCAGAUGAGGUGAGAGGCACAUGGUACUUGGGGGCUGUGCCAAUGCUUCAAUUGCUGGGAUUGAUAACGAAUGGUUUCUGUACUGUAAAAGAAAUAUAUAUGGCUGUUGAGAGAGAGCGCGGAGGAGUGCAGAAUCACGGGUGGGAAAGGCCAGGGCGUCCAGGCUUCUUAAUGACCUGUGCUCCAGCCUCCAUCUACAGGGCCACGCCUGUUCUGAGGAGUAAGGUCUCACCACAUAUGGACCCACUUCCAGAUUUAGGGUUGGGGUGGGAACCUGGAAUUGUAAUCGGAGUUCAAGGAAAGCACAAAGCUUCUUUGCCCAUUCCACGCAUUUUCUUCUCAUAUUUUACAACGAUCGCAGCUUUAUUCCCCUUCCCAUCUAAACCUUUGGGAAUCAGAUUACCGUGUGAUGACGCUGAAAAGUAAACUCUAUCGGGUCCUAACUCCUGAGUUAAUUAAUUAAAUUAGACUCAACAAAUACUGACAAGUGCAUCAAUUUAUUAUAUUUCAAAAGCAAUGUCGUCACUUGCCAGUUGUCAAAUGAAGGCAAACCAUUCCGAUUAUUUCUACAUAUUUUUAUUU